RNAcentral lists this ribosomal RNA (460 nucleotides) under uncultured bacterium. RNAcentral's name for it is "partial 16S ribosomal RNA". It matches the Rfam family "Bacterial small subunit ribosomal RNA", at positions 338 to 795 of the family's 1533-position model. The record is from RNAcentral.
CCUACGGGCGGCUGCAGUGAGGAAUAUUGGUCAAUGGGCGAGAGCCUGAACCAGCCAAGUCGCGUGAAGGAUGAAGGAUCUAUGGUUUGUAAACUUCUUUUAUAUGGGAAUAAAGUGUGGAACGUGUUCCUUUUUGUAUGUACCAUAUGAAUAAGCAUCGGCUAACUCCGUGCCAGCAGCCGCGGUAAUACGGAGGAUGCGAGCGUUAUCCGGAUUUAUUGGGUUUAAAGGGUGCGUAGGUGGACAAUUAAGUCAGUGGUGAAAGUUUGUGGCUCAACCAUAAAAUUGCCGUUGAAACUGGUUGACUUGAGUAUAGAUGAGGUAGGCGGAAUGCGUGGUGUAGCGGUGAAAUGCAUAGAUAUCACGUAGAACUCCGAUUGCGAAGGCAGCUUACUAAACUAUAACUGACGCUGAUGCACGAAAGCGUGGGUAUCAAACAGGAUUAGAUACCCGAGUAGUC